RNAcentral lists this long non-coding RNA (734 nucleotides) under Mytilus galloprovincialis (Mediterranean mussel). Lineage: Eukaryota; Metazoa; Mollusca; Bivalvia; Mytilida; Mytilidae. The record is from RNAcentral.
AUGAGGAAUCAAAUAUUUCUAUUUAUCAUAUAUUUAGUACAAAAUACAGCUAUUUUGUAUAUCUAAUAAAGGUUGUUUUUCCAGUCUGUAUCACCUACCCUGUAUCGCAUACCCCGUAUCGCAUAGCUAAACCCGUAUCGCAUACCCCGUAUCGCAUGGUAAAACCCGUAUCGCAUACCUUUUUUUUUUUUUUUUUUUUACAUAAAGUUUUUUGUUUUUUUUUUUGCUUAAGAAAAAAUUUCCUCAAAAUAGGUCAUUUUUUUUAAUGACGUCAUUGUUUGGUAUGUAACGUCACGAACGUCAAGUUUUCAUAUUGUAUGUGACGUCACGAACAUCAAGUUUGCAUAUUUUUUGGCACACUAAAUGCAACUAUAAAAAAUACAAAACUCUCAAAUAAAUACAAUAAUAAACAAAAUAUUUUUAAAACAGCAGCAGGCAAAUGGUAAGGUAACCUAGGUGCUUUGUAUAAGCAGUUAUUUUAAGGCUUUGAACCAAGACAAAAGCAGAACUGAAGGUAACCCAGUGCUAAUCUAUCGGGAUCAGAAAACAGUUCAUAUAAUAUAAUACUCUUCUGUUGAAAUAUAUGAUAAAGCGUAUAAUACAUGGCAAAAUCCGUAUCACAUGCCGUAUCACCCUCGACCAAUAUCAUCCCUCGGGCCUAAAGGCCCUUGGGCUGAUAUUGAUGUCUCGGGAUGAUACGACAUAUGAUACGGAUUUUGCCAUGUAUUAUUCUC